CAGUAGCCGCGGUAAUACAGAGGGUGCGAGCGUUAAUCGGAUUUACUGGGCGUAAAGCGUGCGUAGGCGGCUUCUUAAGUCGGAUGUGAAAUCCCUGAGCUUAACUUAGGAAUUGCAUUCGAUACUGGGAAGCUAGAGUAUGGGAGAGGAUGGUAGAAUUCCAGGUGUAGCGGUGAAAUGCGUAGAGAUCUGGAGGAAUACCGAUGGCGAAGGCAGCCAUCUGGCCUAAUACUGACGCUGAGGUACGAAAGCAUGGGGAGCAAACAGGAUUAGAUACCCGCGUAGUCCCUGUCUAUUAUAC
Molecule: ribosomal RNA, 301 nt
Filed under: uncultured bacterium
Lineage: Bacteria
Description: partial 16S ribosomal RNA
Rfam family: Bacterial small subunit ribosomal RNA
Source: RNAcentral